GGGGUUGCUGUCGCUGGUCAUUGAUUUCCCUCUUAUUGUUGCGGAGGGCUGGAGGGAUGUAUUUCCCGGUUGCCAUUGUCAGAUUAUAUGCUAUGCAUGGAGUAUUUCACUCUGAGGCGCUUAUUAGGAGGAAGAAUGAUGGAGAAGACCAAGUAGGCUCAUUUCCUUGAAGAGUUGAAGAGGUGAAGUUAGAUUCGUAGCAGUCCAAACACUUGGGAAGAGAAAUAACACGAAAAGGAACCCAGGACGGCGUGGCUGCUGAGCCAACCAUGUAUCCCAUGGAUGGUCCAUACUUUAUAGAAAAUGGAUAUCGUGGAUAGCUGAUUAUCCAUACUCAUUCCGGUGGCGAUGAGUAUAUAUUAUAUGCUGAUAGCAACAAUGCUGCAGCGUUGCAAUAUAAAAUAUAAAGC
This 410-nucleotide small RNA is filed under the name Histoplasma capsulatum var. duboisii H88. Its description in RNAcentral is "Histoplasma capsulatum H88 hypothetical RNA". Lineage: Eukaryota; Fungi; Ascomycota; Eurotiomycetes; Onygenales; Ajellomycetaceae. The record is from RNAcentral.